GACGAACGCUGGCGGCGUGCUUAACACAUGCAAGUCGAACGGAAAGGCCCCUUUGGGGGUCCUCGAGUGGCGAACGAGUGAGUAACACGUGAGUAACCUGCCCUUGACUUCGGGAUAACUUCAGGAAACUGGGGCUAAUACCGGAUAGGAAUCCUUGCUGCAUGGUGGGGGUUGGAAAGCUUCGGCGGUUUUGGAUGGACUCGCGGCUUAUCAGCUUGUUGGUGGGGUAGUGGCUUACCAAGGCUUUGACGGGUAGCCGGCCUGAGAGGGCGACCGGCCACAUUGGGACUGAGAUACGGCCCAGACUCCUACGGGAGGCAGCAGUGGGGAAUAUUGCACAAUGGGCGGAAGCCUGAUGCAGCAACGCCGCGUGCGGGAGGACGGCCUUCGGGUUGUAAACCGCUUUCAGCAGGGGCGAAGCUUGUGGUGACGGUACCUGCAGAAGAAGCACCGGCUAACUACGUG
Molecule: ribosomal RNA, 465 nt
Filed under: uncultured bacterium
Lineage: Bacteria
Description: partial 16S ribosomal RNA
Rfam family: Bacterial small subunit ribosomal RNA
Source: RNAcentral